Molecule: ribosomal RNA, 511 nt
Filed under: uncultured bacterium
Lineage: Bacteria
Description: bacterial SSU rRNA
Rfam family: Bacterial small subunit ribosomal RNA
Source: RNAcentral
AGGGUUCGAUUAUGGCUCAGAUUGAACGCUGGCGGCAGGCCUAACACAUGCAAGUCGAGCGGUAACAGGAAGUAGCUUGCUACUUCGCUGACGAGCGGCGGACGGGUGAGUAAUGCCUGGGAAUAUGCCUUGAUGUGGGGGAUAACUAUUGGAAACGAUAGCUAAUACCGCAUAAUGCCUACGGGCCAAAGAGGGGGAUCUUCGGACCUCUCGCGUCAAGAUUAGCCCAGGUGGGAUUAGCUAGUUGGUGGGGUAAAGGCUCACCAAGGCGACGAUCCCUAGCUGGUCUGAGAGGAUGAUCAGCCACACUGGAACUGAGACACGGUCCAGACUCCUACGGGAGGCAGCAGUGGGGAAUAUUGCACAAUGGGGGAAACCCUGAUGCAGCCAUGCCGCGUGUAUGAAGAAGGCCUUCGGGUUGUAAAGUACUUUCAGCAGUGAGGAAGGUGGUGAUGUUAAUAGCAUCAUCAUUUGACGUUAGCUGCAGAAGAAGCACCGGCUAACUCCGUGC